ACCCUUUUGUAUCAGUGCUGAGAUUUUCGUCAGUAACCAAUCUAUUAGAACUGAUGUGACUUCCCAAAUAAGUGAAGUU
Molecule: microRNA precursor, 79 nt
Filed under: Trichobilharzia regenti
Lineage: Eukaryota; Metazoa; Platyhelminthes; Trematoda; Strigeidida; Schistosomatidae
Description: mir-3492 microRNA precursor family
Rfam family: mir-3492 microRNA precursor family
Source: Rfam by way of RNAcentral